CGGGGCAUGGUGAAAUGGUAUCACGCGUGCUUUGGGAGCAUGAAUCCCCAGUUCGAUCCUGGGUGCCCCGA
This 71-nucleotide transfer RNA is filed under the name Elusimicrobiota bacterium. RNAcentral's name for it is "Elusimicrobia bacterium tRNA-Pro". It matches the Rfam family "tRNA". From Rfam's summary of the family: Transfer RNA (tRNA) molecules are approximately 80 nucleotides in length. Their secondary structure includes four short double-helical elements and three loops (D, anti-codon, and T loops). Further hydrogen bonds mediate the characteristic L-shaped molecular structure. tRNAs have two regions of fundamental functional importance: the anti-codon, which is responsible for specific mRNA codon recognition, and the 3' end, to which the tRNAs corresponding amino acid is attached (by aminoacyl-tRNA synthetases). tRNAs cope with the degeneracy of the genetic code in two manners: having more than one tRNA (with a specific anti-codon) for a particular amino acid; and 'wobble' base-pairing, i.e. permitting non-standard base-pairing at the 3rd anti-codon position. Lineage: Bacteria; Pseudomonadati; Elusimicrobiota. The record is from RNAcentral.